GACGAACGCUGGCGGCGUGCUUAACACAUGCAAGUCGAACGAUGAAGCUAGAGCUUGCUCUGGUGAAUUAGUGGCGAACGGGUGAGUAACACGUGAGUAACCUGCCCCGAACUCUGGGAUAACUGCUGGAAACGGUAGCUAAUACUGGAUACGACCUACGAAGGCAUCUUCUGUAGGUGGAAAGAAUUUCGGUUCGGGAUGGACUCGCGGCCUAUCAGCUAGUUGGAGGGGUAACGGCCCACCAAGGCGACGACGGGUAGCCGGCCUGAGAGGGCGACCGGCCACACUGGGACUGAGACACGGCCCCGACUCCUACGGGGGGCAGCAGUGGGGAAUAUUGGUCAAUGGGCGCAAGCCUGAUGCAGCAACGCCGCGUGAGGGACGACGGCCUUCGGGUUGUAAACCUCUUUUAGUAGGGAAGAAGCGAAAGUGACGGUACCUGCAGAAAAAGCACCGGCUAACUACGUGCCAGCCGCCGCAGUAA
RNAcentral lists this ribosomal RNA (484 nucleotides) under uncultured bacterium. RNAcentral's name for it is "partial 16S ribosomal RNA". It matches the Rfam family "Bacterial small subunit ribosomal RNA", at positions 28 to 523 of the family's 1533-position model. The record is from RNAcentral.